UCAGCCGCCGCGGUAAUACGUAGGCAGCGAGCGUUGUUCGGAGUUACUGGGCGUAAAGAGUAUGUAGGCGGUUCAGCAAGUUUGGUGUGAAAUCUCCCGGCUUAACUGGGAGGGUGCGCCGAAAACUGCCGGGCUAGAGUGCGGGAGAGGAAAGCGGAAUUCCUGGUGUAGCGGUGAAAUGCGUAGAUAUCAGGAGGAACACCUGCGGUGUAGACGGCUUUCUGGACCGUAACUGACGCUGAGAUACGAAAGCGUGGGUAGCAAACAGGAUUAGAUACCCUGGUAGUCCACGCCCUAAACGAUGCACACUUGGUGUGGGCAGUUCAUUCUGUCCGUGCCGGAGUUAACGCGUUAAGUGUGCCGCCUGGGGAGUACGGUCGCAAGGCUGAAACUUAAAUAAAUUGACGG
This 408-nucleotide ribosomal RNA is filed under the name uncultured bacterium. RNAcentral describes it as "bacterial SSU rRNA". It matches the Rfam family "Bacterial small subunit ribosomal RNA", at positions 508 to 916 of the family's 1533-position model. The record is from RNAcentral.